This 414-nucleotide ribosomal RNA is filed under the name uncultured bacterium. Its description in RNAcentral is "bacterial SSU rRNA". It matches the Rfam family "Bacterial small subunit ribosomal RNA", at positions 29 to 489 of the family's 1533-position model. The record is from RNAcentral.
AGCGAACGCUGGCGGCAGGCCUAACACAUGCAAGUCGAACGCACCUUCGGGUGAGUGGCGGACGGGUGAGUAACACGUGGGAACGUACCUUUAGGUUCGGAAUAACGCAGGGAAACUUGCGCUAAUACCGAAUGUGCCCUUCGGGGAAGGAUUUAUCGCCUUUAGAGCGGCCCGCGUUAGAUUAGCUAGUUGGUGGGGUAAGUGGCCCACCAAGGCUACGAUCUAUAGCUGGUCUGAGAGGAUGAUCAGCCACACUGGGACUGAGACACGGCCCAGACUCCUACGGGAGGCAGCAGUGGGGAAUCUUGCGCAAUGGGCGGAAAGCCUGACGCAGCCAUGCCGCGUGAAUGAUGAAGGUCUUAGGAUUGUAAAAUUCUUUUAGCAGGGACGAUAAUGACGGUACCUGCAGAAAAA